GAUGAACGCUGGCGGCGUGCUUAACACAUGCAAGUCGAACGGUGAACACGGAGCUUUCUCUGUGGGAUCAGUGGCGAACGGGUGAGUAACACGUGAGCAACCUGCCCCUGACUCUGGGAUAAGCGCUGGAAACGGCGUCUAAUACUGGAUAUGUGACGUGACCGCAUGGUCUGCGUUUGGAAAGAUUGUUCGGUUGGGGUUGGGCUCGCGGCCUAUGCGCUUGUUGGUGAGGUAAUGGCUCACCAAGGCGUCGACGGGUAGCCGGCCUGAGAGGGUGACCGGCCACACUGGGAUUGAGACACGGCCCAGACUCCUACGGGAGGCAGCGGUGGGGAAUAUUGCACACUGGGCGGAAGCCUGAUGCAGGAACGCCGCGUGGGGGAGGACUGCUUUCGGGUUGUAAACCUUUUUUAGCAGGGAAGAAGCGAAAGUGACGGUACCUGAAGAAAAAGAGCCGGCUAACUACGUG
This 469-nucleotide ribosomal RNA is filed under the name uncultured bacterium. Its description in RNAcentral is "partial 16S ribosomal RNA". It matches the Rfam family "Bacterial small subunit ribosomal RNA", at positions 28 to 507 of the family's 1533-position model. The record is from RNAcentral.